UCCAAAAACAUCGCUCUUUGAAAAGAUUUAACUAAUAUAUAAAGAGUCCUGCCUGCCCAGUGACGAAAGUUAAACGGCCGCGGUAUUUUGACCGUGCAAAGGUAGCAUAAUCAUUUGCCUUUUAAAUGGAGGCUAGUAUGAAUGGCAAGACGGGGGUUUAACUGUCUCUCUUUUAGGUUCUUGAAUUUAUUAUCUUUGUGAAGAAACGAAGAUAUAGUCGUAGGACGAGAAGACCCUAUCGAGCUUAAGUUAUUUAUUAAAGUUUAAAUUUUUUACUGUUGGGCUAAUAAAGCAAAAAGUUAAUUUUACCAAAUGGUAAAAACAGAUUGUUAUUAAAUCGCUUUGGUUGGGGCAACCACGGAGAAAAAACACCCUCCGCUUAAAUAAAUAGAAAAAUUACUAUUUUUAGAAAUAUUAAUAUUAAAAAGUGAUCCACUAAUAAGUGAUCAAAGGAACAAGUUACCGUAGGGAUAACAGCGUAAUUUUUUUGGAGAGUUCAUAUUGAUAAAAAAGUUUGCGACCUCGAUGUUGGAUCGGGACUUCCAGGGGAUGCAGCAGUCCCAAGGGUGGUC
RNAcentral lists this ribosomal RNA (572 nucleotides) under Astropecten indicus. Its description in RNAcentral is "partial 16S ribosomal RNA". It matches the Rfam family "Bacterial large subunit ribosomal RNA", at positions 1806 to 2576 of the family's 2925-position model. Lineage: Eukaryota; Metazoa; Echinodermata; Asteroidea; Paxillosida; Astropectinidae. The record is from RNAcentral.